Molecule: transfer RNA, 73 nt
Filed under: Stegodyphus mimosarum
Lineage: Eukaryota; Metazoa; Arthropoda; Arachnida; Araneae; Eresidae
Rfam family: tRNA
About the family: Transfer RNA (tRNA) molecules are approximately 80 nucleotides in length. Their secondary structure includes four short double-helical elements and three loops (D, anti-codon, and T loops).
Source: Rfam by way of RNAcentral
GCCUUCGUGGUGUAGUGGUCAGCACGCUGGGAGCCUAUUCCUGUGGUCCAUGGUUCGAUUCCCGGCGAAGGCA